Molecule: ribosomal RNA, 468 nt
Filed under: uncultured bacterium
Lineage: Bacteria
Description: partial 16S ribosomal RNA
Rfam family: Bacterial small subunit ribosomal RNA
Source: RNAcentral
GAUGAACGCUGGCGGCGUGCUUAACACAUGCAAGUCGAACGGAAAGGCCCAAGUUUGCUUGGGUACUCGAGUGGCGAACGGGUGAGUAACACGUGGGUGAUCUGCCCUGCACUUCGGGAUAAGCCUAGGAAACUGGGUCUAAUACCGGAUAGGACGAUGUCCUGGAUGCGAUUGUGGAAAGUUUUUUCGGUGUGGGAUGAGCUCGCGGCCUGUCCGCUUGUUGGUGGGGUAAUGGCCUAGCAAGGCGUCGACGGGGAGCCGGGCUGUGAGGGGGUACGGACACACUAGGGCGGGGAUGCGGCCCAGACUCGUACAGGAGGGAGGACUGGGGAAUAUAGCACAAUGGGAGCGAGGCUGGUGCGACGAAGCCGCGCGGGGGGGAAGUGGCUUCGGGUUGUGAACUCCUCUCGCUAUGGAGGAGGCGUUUUUGUGACGGUACCUGGAGAAGAAGCACCGGCUAACUACGUG